RNAcentral lists this long non-coding RNA (1446 nucleotides) under Felis catus (domestic cat). RNAcentral's name for it is "lncRNA (ENSFCAG00000051247.1)". Lineage: Eukaryota; Metazoa; Chordata; Mammalia; Carnivora; Felidae. The record is from RNAcentral.
AUGAGGAUGGUGACAGUGAUAAUGACGAUGAUGCCAUGGUGAUUGCCGUCGAGAAGUUCACAGUCUAGUGGAGAAGGUACUCAAGUAAACAGAUGAUCCUAAUACAGCAUGGUGUGAAUAAUGCCUGAAGUCAGAGCAGGACCAGGGGGAGGAGGACUCAAGACAGCCCCGGGGCAGGGGUGUGGCUGGGGACCACGGCAUUCCGUCAACACUCAGACACCCAGUGUUUAUGGCACCGGGUGACUUACAAUGGCCGCUUGUCUAUGGGUCUGGGUAAACAGGAACAGAGUUAGGUUCAGACAACUGCUACCUUCAUCAUUUCGUUUUCCUUGCGCUGCAGAGGACCAGGAUCUCUAGCAGCUUUGAAAAAUGUCCCCUUGGAGGCUACUGAGGAGUAUUUCGGAUUUGUAUCCAGUUAUCAGAGAUCCCAUUGUAAUAUAAAGGGGCAGGCAGGAUGGAAAGAUAAAGAAUUACGGUCGCCUAGGAAACGGAACACUACAUUUCCUGUCUCAAGGCUGAAGUUCCGUGCUCGCUGCAGAAUGUUUUUUGGGAAGAGUCUAAAACCAGGGUUCUUUUGGGUUACUGGGGACGCUGGCUCAGGACACCGGCAAGAGGCCCUUUGUUGACCUUAUGUGAAUGGCUUCCCCUGGCUCCGGUCACCUGAAGACAUGGCAUCCUGGUUCCUGGUCAUCUGGGAACAUGGCUAUUCUCAGCUGCCCAUAAAAGCAGAGUAAAUGUUCCAUCAUUGGCCAGUUGUCAAGCGGUGGCCACCGGGACCUCACCUCUGUGGGACCUCACCGCAGUGGAAGCGAUAAAGAGCCCUCGCUCUGGGGGCCAGCAACUUGGGUUUGAAUCCCGGUCCCAUCACCUAUUACCGAUACAACUUCAGGCGAGUUUCUUAACAUUCCAGAACUUUUCUCAGGUGGGGAAUAGCACAUCAGGGCCCACCUUUGGCGGGCUGGCGUGUGCCAGCUAUUCACACGCAGCCACGCUCUUCUUCCCAGCCCAGCCUCCCUUGCCCUUGGGCCUGCUGUGUGAUUGAAUUCCUCAGUAAAUGGGAUGUGAGGGGAAGGGAUGUGCACCGAUCCAGGCCUGGCCCAGCAAAACUUCCCCGGUGAUCCUCUGGCUUCCCCACUGGCUGGCUGAGGGUGUCUGACAGGAACUUAAGGCCCCGUGGGAUGACGGAGCCACCGAGUGGAAGGAGCCUGGGUCCCUGGAUCACCAUGUGGAAGGCCAGAUACCUGCACUGAACUGUUAUUUGAGUGAAAAAAAGCUUUCAUUGUGUUGAGAUCCUGAGACUCUGGGUUGGGUUUCUACAGCAGUUAGUUUACUUCAUAAAGUCGUCGCAAGAAUUAAACGAAUUAACAUAUGCAAAGUGCCCAACACAGUGCCUGGGACGUAUAUACAUGAGCUAUAUACGUAAUUGCUAUUAGCAUGAUAUUUGGA